AACGAACGCUGGCGGCAUGCCUAACACAUGCAAGUCGAACGAGACCUUCGGGGCUAGUGGCGCACGGGUGCGUAACGCGUGGGAACCUGCCCUUAGGUUCGGAAUAACUCCCCGAAAGGGGUGCUAAUACCGGAUAAUGUCUUCGGACCAAAGAUUUAUCGCCUUUGGAUGGGCCCGCGUUGGAUUAGCUAGUUGGUAGGGUAAAAGCCUACCAAGGCGACGAUCCAUAGCUGGUCUGAGAGGAUGAUCAGCCACACUGGGACUGAGACACGGCCCAGACUCCUACGGGAAGCAGCAGUGGGGAAUAUUGGACAAUGGGCGAAAGCCUGAUCCAGCAAUGCCGCGUGAGUGAUGAAGGCCUUAGGGUUGUAAAGCUCUUUUACCCGGGAGGAUAAUGACAGUACCGGGAGAAUAAGCUCCGGCUAACUCCGUG
RNAcentral lists this ribosomal RNA (433 nucleotides) under uncultured bacterium. Its description in RNAcentral is "partial 16S ribosomal RNA". It matches the Rfam family "Bacterial small subunit ribosomal RNA", at positions 29 to 507 of the family's 1533-position model. The record is from RNAcentral.